Molecule: ribosomal RNA, 448 nt
Filed under: uncultured bacterium
Lineage: Bacteria
Description: partial 16S ribosomal RNA
Rfam family: Bacterial small subunit ribosomal RNA
Source: RNAcentral
AACGAACGCUGCGGCAUGCCUAACACAUGCAAGUCGAACGAGAUCUUCGGGUCUAGUGGCGCACGGGUGCGUAACGCGUGGGAAUCUGCCCUUUGGUUCGGAAUAACAGUUGGAAACGACUGCUAAUACCGGAUGAUGACGAAAGUCCAAAGAUUUAUCGCCAGAGGAUGAGCCCGCGUAGGAUCUGCUAGUUGGUGUGGUAAAGGCGCACCAAGGCGACGAUCCUUAGCUGGUCUGAGAGGAUGAUCAGCCACACUGGGACUGAGACACGGCUCAGACUCCUACGGGAGGCAGCAGUGGGGAAUAUUGGACAAUGGGCGAAAGCCUGAUCCAGCAAUGCCGCGUGAGUGAUGAAGGCCUUAGGGUUGUAAAGCUCUUUUACUCGGGAUGAUAAUGACAGUACCGGGAGAAUAAGCUCCGGCUAACUCCGUGCCAGCAGCCGCCGUAA